Molecule: long non-coding RNA, 2157 nt
Filed under: Lupinus angustifolius (narrow-leaved blue lupine)
Lineage: Eukaryota; Viridiplantae; Streptophyta; Magnoliopsida; Fabales; Fabaceae
Description: long non-coding RNA (LANG_LNC002438)
Source: RNAcentral
UGGGGAGACGAAAAGUAAUGAAUUAAGUUGUUAUCAAAACUUCCCUCAUUUUUUAUAGAAUAUCUUUGCAACUAUAAUUUCUAUUUAGUUUAAGUCCUAUCAGUAAGCAAUAUGCAAAUGCAAAAGGGAGCAGGGCUAUAUGGAUUAAUUCAAGUGGUACCAAGUGAUCCUGAACCCUUUGCUUAUGACUUUGACAAGAGCAUUAUUCAGAAUGAUUGGUACUACCAGAGUACUCAUGAACAAGCCACUGGAUUGUCUUCAAAUCCUUUUGGUAUGGGUGAGGGACCAUAAUCAUGUGAUUAAUUCUGGAAAAGUGAAGACAAAGCCAAAAUAUCCUGUGUCAGAUACACAUUCUCAACAUAAAUGGCAAUAUUUAAAGAGAAACCAACCAUGAGCCACAAUUGAAGGAAUUUCAAAGGAGAGACUGAUUCAGCCAUGUAGGAAUUCCAAAGAAAUACAAACCAGGGGUCAGUCAUUUCAGUUAUAGUCACAAAUGCAAAACAUGAAUUAAUGUUUCAGUUACAAUCAGUAGUGAUGACCAGAAUAAUCAUGACAUGUUACACAUUUUGGGCAAACCAUCAGACCACCACAAUCAGCUAUAUAAGAACAGCCUACACAUACUAAAAGAGGGCAGAUAUCAAGUGCACGCAAAAACAUAUACCACAUAGAGAGACAAGCUUAUCACAGAAAGGGAUACCACUCAUACACCUACAACUCUAAAAAGGGAUACAAGAUAGGGCAACCAGAGAGCAUAUAAUACACUGAAAGCAUAUAGAUAUGCACAUACAACACCCAUACCAUGAAGACAUGCAUAACACAGAUCAUAAGACACUCAUACCACACAACAUAGACACACCAUACGAGAAUCAGAAAGCAACAUCACACAAGGAACUCAUAUACCACAAAUCACACAUUCAACACAUAUACAGAGUAAAAAUCAGAUUACUCAGGAAAAUUAGAGAUAUCGACAUACUGAUCACGCAUAAUACAACAAAGAGCAUACACAGAUACACGCAUAUCACCACAUACAUAGAGGCAGAGCCUCUGUAUACAGAGAACCAACACUCAGAAGGACAAAGGAAGAGAGCAUACACUCAGGUAAGCAUUCAAACCAUAAAAAACAAUGUUUUAUAUGAGCCAUGACCAUCAAGGCAUACACACAUAUCAAAUAAACAUAUCAGCUUUUGUAUGGUCUAUGUACUAGACUUAUAUGCUUAAUUGAUAAAUGUUUCUAAUCGACCAUACACACUAGUUUCAACAGAACAUAUAUAUGCUUAAUUAAAAAUGAAAUAGAUGAAAACAAACAGUGCAUUGCCAUAACCUUAAGGCUAGAUAAUGUGAUUUAUGUCCAGUUUAGCUUUUAACCCAAAUCUAUUUUCACAUACAUAACACCAAUCAUUUCCUAGAAAUGCAUAUACAUAUACUAGAUUAGAACAUAAGUAAACCUUAAAAGCUUGGGAGAACAUGAUUGAAAUCUGUUUUUGUUUACAUGUCACCACCAAUUAGUACAUGCUCUAAGAUUAAGCAAAAUUUCAAUAGAAAAGGGAUACGAUGCCUUGCCAAACUCCGUUAUCACUACCGAUUUGGAACCCAUUGUCUUAGUUGGUCCAUGUGAGUAUGAGGGGCUGUGAAGAAUAAGAAGGGCAUAUCAAAAGAUGAAGAUUCAGGGUUAUGGAAAUAUGAUAUAAAAUUAGGGAAGAUGACUACCUUCUGGCAACCACCAUUUCGGGAUAAGGAAACUCAGUUCGUGGGGAGCCAUACCUUCGCCGAAGAAGAGCUUACCCACGGGAAAGAAAAUAAUGGAGAAAUAUUUCUCUUCAAUAUUCCCUCUUGAAGUAGGGAUGAAGAUUCCAUGCCAUGGGAGAUGCCUUCAAUCGAUAACCAUCGUGAUUCCCCAGGGAGAAUGCAAAAAAUGGAAUUAGGGAUCCCAAUCCCCCUCGUCACAAAGGCGAUGGAGAAGAGAAUGGGGACGUCGGCAUUGAGACAUCACCGUCACCAUUGACGGCAUUGCUCAUCGCCGUCGCUGCCUUUUGCUGUCGCCGUCGCUGCCUUUCGCUGUCGCCGUCGCUGCUGAAAUUGGUGAGGGAGUAGGAGAUGAGGGUUAGGGAUUCUUUCCCUGGUUAUGGUCGUGAAUUGGGGGUGUCCCCUUUGCAUUAU